AAGACCUUGCACUUUUGGAGCGGCCGAUGUCUAAUUAGCUAGUUGGUGGGGUAAUGGCCUACCAAAGCUUCGAUCAGUAGCUGGUCUGAGAGGACGGCCAGCCACACUGGGACUGAGACACGGCCCAGACUCCUACGGGAGGCAGCAGUGGGGAAUUUUGGACAAUGGGCGCAAGCCUGAUCCAGCCAUGCCGCGUGAGUGAAGAAGGCCUUCGGGUUGUAAAGCUCUUUCAGRCGGGAAGAAAAGGUUGCGACUAAUAAUCGCAAUUCAUGACGGUACCGAAAGAAGAAGCACCGGCUAACUACGUGCCAGCAGCCGCGGUAAUACGUAGGGUGCGAGCGUUAAUCGGAAUUACUGGGCGUAAAGGGUGCGCAGGCGGUUUUGUAAGUCAGAUGUGAAAUCCCCGGGCUUAACCUGGGAACU
RNAcentral lists this ribosomal RNA (423 nucleotides) under uncultured bacterium. Its description in RNAcentral is "bacterial SSU rRNA". It matches the Rfam family "Bacterial small subunit ribosomal RNA", at positions 207 to 622 of the family's 1533-position model. The record is from RNAcentral.